Triticum urartu is the source of this 1882-nucleotide long non-coding RNA. RefSeq lists it as uncharacterized. The record is from RefSeq and is a predicted model, not a curated record. NCBI's taxonomy places the organism in Eukaryota, Viridiplantae, Streptophyta, Magnoliopsida, Poales, Poaceae.
CUCCAAACCUAGCUAACUCUCGAACAUUCUCCCCCAAAUCUCAGCCCCCAACCUAGCUCUCUUUCCAGCGGCCAGCGGCCGGCUGCGCCCCGAAUCCCUCGCCGUCGGCUGCGCCCCCAAAUCCCUCGCCUAUUCCAUCCUCUCGUUCGCCCCCUCCGCCUGAUUCGCUGGUCAGUAGACUGACCACCCGCUGCCCGAAGUGUCGCUGGUAAUCUCCCAGCGCUUCCGGAGGAGGGCCACCGUCAACGACCCCUUGGCCGCCGUCAACGACCCCGUGGCCGUCGUCCACUGGACCACCGCAUCCUUCCCUGAGUGGCGCCCUUUCCAAUCCAGGUUACAGGACUUCUGAAGUUAUUUCACUUGUUGAUGAGAAAGAAAACAGAGUUAAACGACUGCUGAUUAUCAAGGAUUAGAUCUUGGAUUUGCUAGUGGACUUUGGGAGUUUCUUGGCCAGCUUGGUGACUCCACAUUUUUCACUAUUUCAGCAACCCUUUGGUGCUAACUUGUCCAAGGACUUCUACCAAUCUAAGAAACUCUUAAAGGUGACAGGCAAUUUAAUUAUGUUGACCCUAAUUCCAAAUAGGACAACUAUACUAUGCAACUUGGAAUCAUUCUUAAAUGAGAACACCCGGCAUAAUUGAGAAGAAGGAAGGUGAUGUUGUCAUUAAAACCCGCCCAGCUUUGGAGUGAUCUGAUUAUUAUGAUGAUGAUACUCUAGAUGAUAAGGGGCAGAUAGCAGCAGAUCGUGUGAAGCAAGUGUUUUGGGCAAGUUCCAAGUACUUGGGAGUUAUUUUGAAAAUCUGUAUUGCACAUGCAUAUUUGACAUGAAAAUGUGUGAACUUAUAGAACUUGUUUGAGGUUCAUGUGAAGGAUGAUGAAGACUCGGACAAGGUGGAGGAUGACGUUGAUCGUGUGUUUGACAACUAUGCAAUGAAAAAAGUGAGAGACAUGAUGUAUCAAGUUCGUGUGGAUGCUGUGAAGUUCUACUAUGAGAAGAAAGGAGAGCGGCUUGAUGGCACGUUGGCAUGUUCAAAAGAGCUUGAAUAUGGCCAAUACUUGGAAGGUGGAAUACCAUGGGUUAAGGAACAUGCAUGGCCUCAUCUUUGUGCUUAUUGGUGCUAAAAAACGCCACGAUGAUUACCGUGAUUUGGCUAGAGCCGCACAUCCUGAUAAUUGGGAGGAGCGAGAGUUACAUGGGCAAAUGUUAUAUGAAUCAUCAGGUGGCAUUCCCCAUGGGCGACUAGCAAUAGCGGAUGGGGCAAUUAAGAAGGCUGAUGUUAUCUCAACAUCUAGAGAGAAGAAACUGAGGCUGUCAACUUCAGCAUCACUUCGACGAACUAUUCAAGAAAACGAAGAACUGAAGCGACGAGCUAUUCAAGAAAACGAAGAACUGAAGCGACAUAAUGAGUACCUGCAAAAUAAAGUGGAUAUGCAUGAACGACUCUUCUUGGUCCUUUUUAAGGAGAUGGGUAAAGAACUACCAGAGGAGCUACACCCAUGGAGCAAGGUCCCAGCCACAUGGGCAUCUCAUAUUGGAACCCAAACAUUGGAUGACAACACCGAUGAUGGUGAUUCGGGUGAAGCUGUUGGCGGUGACGACUCCAACAAUCGGGAAAGCAAGACUUAGAAUGCUAGUGAUGGUAACCUGGGAAGUGCCUUUGUUGACAGAGUAUGGUAACAUGACUUUAGAAGUGAUGGUAGUGUUGGUAACACAAUAGCAUUUUGGUAGUUGCAACAAACACUAAAGCCAAGUUAUCUGUUCUGAACUAUGAUCUAUUGUUGUGAAGUAUGAUGUAUUUUGUCUGUAAUGCACUGAAGCUUAUCCUUGCAACUUGCAAGUUGAACAAUUUAUCUUUUGUUGUCAAGAACUGUUAUGUACUUA